RNAcentral lists this ribosomal RNA (460 nucleotides) under uncultured bacterium. RNAcentral describes it as "partial 16S ribosomal RNA". It matches the Rfam family "Bacterial small subunit ribosomal RNA", at positions 338 to 795 of the family's 1533-position model. The record is from RNAcentral.
CCUACGGGUGGCAGCAGUGAGGAAUAUUGGUCAAUGGGCGGAAGCCUGAACCAGCCAAGUAGCGUGCAGGAUGACGGCCCUACGGGUUGUAAACUGCUUUUAUACGGGAAUAACGCGCCUUACGUGUAGGGCUUUGCAUGUACCGUAUGAAUAAGGACCGGCUAAUUCCGUGCCAGCCGCCGCGGUACUACGGAAGGUCCGGGCGUUAUCCGGAUUUAUUGGGUUGAAAGGGAACGUAGGCCGCAUGUCAAGCGUGCUGUGAAAUGGCCGGGCUCAACCCGGGCCGUGCAGCGCGAACUGGCGUGCUUGAGUCCGCGGAAAGCAGGCGGAAUUCGUCGUGUAGCGGUGAAAUGCUUAGAUAUGUCGAAGAACCCCGAUUGCGAAGGCAGCUUGCUGCAGCGGAACUGACGCUGAUGCUCGAAAGCGCGGGUAUCGAACAGGAUUAGAUACCCCUGUAGUC